Long non-coding RNA from Stomoxys calcitrans (stable fly), 625 nucleotides. RefSeq lists it as uncharacterized. Lineage: Eukaryota; Metazoa; Arthropoda; Insecta; Diptera; Muscidae. The transcript is spliced from 2 exons. The record is from RefSeq and is a predicted model, not a curated record.
CAUAUGUAUGAGCGUCGCUUAUAUGUGACACUUCGUUUAAUAAUAUAUGAACAGCUGUACAGUUUCAUGUUGAAUCUCGUCGUAUGGCUUAAAUAAUGAGCUUAUGUUUCAAAAGAUAACUGAGUCUUAUCAAUGCGGCUUUAGAUCUUAAGAACUAAAUCCACCAUGGUCCAGAUAUUUACAUUAGGCCAAAUCCUGCAAAAAUCUAAAAAGAAACAGAUCAACUUUAAAGCCGUCUAAUACACAUAUGUAUGUUUAAAGAGUAGGAAUAUAUCUCUCCGAAGCAUACGAGAUUGCAGACAGAACGAGAGCUUGGCAUGUGAUGUGGAUACAGUAAUUCCAGCCUUUGAAGAAAUCAGCGUACAGAAAUAAAGUGUUUUCCAGUAGUGGCUUGACAACUUUGACUUUCAACAAGCCGACGACGUUGGAAUAGCUCAGAGCCUGCAUUGAACGGUAUAUACAUAGUUACCGUUUCUGCUGAAAUGUGUGGCCGAGUCAUCGAAAAUUGGGUCCAACUUAUUGAUAGAUGCAAAGGUGCUCACGGUGGCCAUAUUAACGAAGUCCAGUUCUAUAAAUGUUUUGAUUGUACCUCAAGCCGAUAAUAAAGUUUUUGAAAUAUUUCAAA